RNAcentral lists this ribosomal RNA (445 nucleotides) under uncultured bacterium. Its description in RNAcentral is "bacterial SSU rRNA". It matches the Rfam family "Bacterial small subunit ribosomal RNA", at positions 330 to 792 of the family's 1533-position model. The record is from RNAcentral.
ACCAGACUCCUACGGGAGGCAGCAGUGGGGGAUAUUGCACAAUGGGGGGAACCCUGAUGCAGCGACGCCGCGUGGGUGAAGAAGCGCCUCGGCGCGUAAAGCCCUGUCAGCAGGGAAGAAAAUGACGGUACCUGAAGAAGAAGCCCCGGCUAACUACGUGCCAGCAGCCGCGGUAAUACGUAGGGGGCAAGCGUUAUCCGGAUUCACUGGGUGUAAAGGGAGCGUAGACGGCGACGCAAGUCUGGAGUGAAAGCCCGGGGCCCAACCCCGGGACUGCUCUGGAAACUGCGUCGCUGGAGUACGGGAGGGGCAGGCGGAAUUCCUGGUGUAGCGGUGAAAUGCGUAGAUAUCUGGAGGAACAUCAGUGGCGAAGGCGACUAUCUGGCACAUAACUGACGCUGAGGAGCGAAAGCGUGGGUAGCAAACAGGAUUAGAUACCCUCGUA